GAGAAACUAGUUAUUUCACCAAGGCUUUGACUGGAAUGGCUUCUUUAAAGAAUCAAAGUUGACUUGUAGAGCCAAUAAAAGCCCCUUGGGAAAUGUGGCCUCAUACCUUGUCUACGCCAUCUCUGUACAAGAUUCCCGACUUGUGGUUGUAUUGGGUUGGCAGGAGAUUUUGUGUUUAAUUAUUUCCCCAACAAUUUAACAAUGAGGAUAGGAUCUUUCUGGCAAUUUCUGAAUUGGGUAGAUCAUCUGAAAGACUUGUGGUCACACAACAGUCAGAUUUCAUAGUGUUUACUGAUGGACCAUGUACUUGGGAUAAAUUGGCCAACUGAAGGUUUCUUAUGCUGUGGUGUCUGAUCAUGAGCUCUUGGAAGCUUAUGUUUUGUCUGGAAUUAAGUUGGCACAAGUAGACAUCUUGAGACAUAAAGUGAAAAGGACCUAGAAGGAACUACUGGAAGAAAUAUCACCCCUAUUAAGCUGGGCAAUUUUGUUUAAAUACGAGUGUUCUGGAGGAAACAUGCAUUGUCACCAGGCUGGGUGGGACCCUUUCAAGUGCCACGAUCACUCAUAUGGGUAUCAGAGUGAAAGAAAAACCAGAUGGUUUCAUGCUUUCCAUGUGAAGCCAGCUCCUCAGGAGGACUAGACUGCAGUUUCCACAAAAGAUUUGAAGUUUAAUUUCCUAGAGUGACUAAUAUUGGUAAUGAACUCAACUGAAAGGAGGUAUUCUAAGGAAUGUAUUAUUCUGACUACCUUGCUGUCCUAGUUGCAAUAGUGUUUUGUUCAAUUACUAUAAGAAUCACAUUUUAUUAGAAAAUAAACAUGUUAUUUGUUACACCACUUUUUCUUUCUGUACUCCCAAUAAUGGUUCCUACAGUCACAUUUCCUCUCUCCUCUGAAUUGUAUUCCCAGUACAGAAAUGCUGGGCCUGCAUUUAUGAAUCCAACAGUCUGAUUAUUGGCCAAAUAAACACAAGACCAUGUUCAUUACUAUGUUUUAAUAUCAAAGUAAAAGUAACUACUAUGCAUCCAGAAACCAAAGCCCUAAAUUUCACACAAAAAAUUUGUUAACUGGUUUGAUUGGAAGAGUAUAGAAAAGAAAUGCAUCUAAUUAAGUGUCUGGCAUUUAUGGAUAGAGACCUCAGAAGACAGCUCUAAUGUCAAUCGAUUAACUUGAGAAUAGAAGUUUUCUCCAGUCCUACUAUGGAUAGAUAAACAAAGGUGGAUAUGCCUGUUAUCUAUGGAUAUUUAGUUAACUGUUAUAAUAAUAUAACUACUGGUUUGGACCGAGGUAAGAAAUGGCCCAAAAGUUGGCUUUGUCCUCCAGACUUAAAACUAUUAGAGCCAUGUACACUAAACACUGGAAAUUCAAUCUGUGCCCUUCAACGGGUACUUCAUAAUAAGACUUUGAUACUAUAUAAUGGCCACGAGUGUCUUUGCAUUUUGCAUCUGGGAGAAAUUAUUUGGGAAGAUGGGAUAAUUACCAAAGGGCCUAGUUUAUCCUAUAAAUGCAAUAUUACUCCUGUGACUGCUGAGAACUCAGAGGAAAUUCAUUGGGCCUUACAAGAAAAACUCAGUUAAAAAACAUAUAUUAUCAGGCUCCAGAGUUAAGCUAUUAACUCGGCUAGGAUAGGGAUUUCUUUCUUUUUUGUUUGUUUGUUUGUUUUCUGAAGAUGGAGUCUCGCUCAGUAGCCCAGGCUGGAGUGCAGUGGUGCGAUCUCAGCUCACUGCAACCUCCGCCUCCUGGGUUCAAGUGAUUCUCCUGCCUCGGCCUCCUGAGUAGCUGGAAUUAUAGGCGUGUUCCACCACGCCAGGUUAAUUUUUGUAUUUUUAGUAGAGACAGGGUUUCACCAUGUUGGUCAGGCUGGUCUCAAACUCCUGACCUCAUGAUCCGCUGGCCUCAGCCUCCCAAAGUGCUGGGAUUACAGGCGUGAGCCACUGUGCCUGGCCAGAUUUCAUUUUCUAAAACUACAAAAUAAUACUCAAGUAGUUAAUCAUUUGAAAGCAGAAACAAAGACAUGACAACAGUUUAUAAAAUUAAUGUAUCAUGAGGAUAAUUUUUGUGUAUGGCUAAUCAAAUAUCUGCUUUAACCAUUCACAACUGGUAUAUUUAAAGAUUCACCCAAGAAAAAUGUUGUACUAAUUUUUGAUUCAUCCCAUUAUAAUUCUGAUAAUUGCUUUAUUUUGUAUUUUACCAUGGACUUGCUGGAUAUAAAUAUCUAAAGACUGCUGCAAACUGCCCAGAGAAAGGUUAAAAUGUCAGAGUAAACAAUUGGAAAACUGUAGUUUUAGUAGAAAAUAGUAACAAGGAAAAUUGUAAGGGUAAAUACAAAUCUAAAAAUGAAUUUUAAUUUAAAAUUUUCCUCAGUGCAAAAAGGAAAGAACUAUUCCCCCUCCCUUUUCUUUCAGCAUUUCCUUCAGAAAAUGGAAUUAUAAAUAAACUUCUUGCCAGUUUUGCAUCCUAGGAAUGUCAUUCUUUUUUUUUCUUUUAUUAUUAUACUUUAAGUUUUAGGGUACAUGUGCACAUUGUGCAGGUUAGUUACAUAUGUAUACAUGUGCCACGCUGGUGCGCUGCACCCACUAACUCGUCAUCUAGCAUUAGGUAUAUCUCCCAAUGCUAUCCCUCCCCCCUCCCCCCACCCCACAACAGUCCCCAGAGUGUGAUGUUCCCCUUCCUGUGUCCAUGUGAUCUCAUUGUUCAAUUCCCACCUAUGAGUGAGAAUAUGCGGUGUUUGGGUUUUUGUUCUUGCGAUAGUUUACUGAGAAUGAUGAUUUCCAAUUUCAUCCAUGUCCCUACAAAGGACAUGAACUCAUCAUUUUUUAUGGCUGCAUAGUAUUCCAUGGUGUAUAUGUGCCACAUUUUCUUAAUCCAGUCUAUCAUUGUUGGACAUUUGGGUUGGUUCCAAGUCUUUGCUAUUGUGAAUAGUGCCGCAAUAAACAUACGUGUGCAUGUGUCUUUAUAGCAGCAUGAUUUAUAGUCCUUUGGGUAUAUACCCAGUAAUGGGAUGGCUGGGUCAAAUGGUAUUUGUAGUUCUAGAUCCCUGAGGAAUCACCACACUGACUUCCACAAUGGUUGAACUAGUUUACAGUCCCACCAACAGUGUAAAAGUGUUCCUAUUUCUCCACAUCCUCUCCAGCAUCUGCUGUUUCCUGACUUUUUAAUGAUUGCCAUUCUAACUGGUGUGAGAUGGUAUCUCAUUGUGGUUUUGAUUUGCAUUUCUCUGAUGGCCAGUGAUGAUGAGCAUUUUUUCAUGUGUUUUUUGGCUGUAUAAAUGUCUUCUUUUGAGAAGUGUCUGUUCACGUCCUUUGCCCAGUUUUUGAUGGGGUUGUCAUUCUUAAUGGCCAAGGAGCCACUUCUUUUAAAAGUGAACACUAAAACAGGUGGUGCUCUCUUUCCCUGUGGAAAUUUAGCUCCAAGAUAUAACCUCCUGCUUAUCAAAAAUAUAUGAGAGAUUGUAUUUUUCCUUUGGAUAAAUACAAUUAACAUGUAUAUAAUAGAUUAACAUAUACAUAAAACAAAAGGGCAAGAGUUCUUUUUUGUCUUUGUAAUCUCUUUAGGGUAUUGCCUGUGAUGUGCAUCAUGGUCUGGUUUAAUGCUUAUUCAUUAUAUUUCAUUCUGUUCUACAUUCUGUGAAGAUAUUUUACUGGAUUGGCAAGAGAUUUUGUUUAGUCAUUUUCCCCCACCACCAGCCAUGUACCUCAGGACAAAAGUUUUUCCCUAGUCCUCUAGCCCAGUGGCUAAAAUCCUGAAACACAGUGAUCUGCUGAUUUCACUUGUUGCAGGCUGCUCAAUAGCUGCCUAGAUUUUCUAGCUAAUUUAAUCAAACUCUACUUUAGUGACACUAAUGAGGUUAAGUGAAACCCUUAGUUUCAUCUGGAAAACAUACUGAUACCCUCAGCAUGCUAAAAGCACAUCGAUAUGCUCUAGGAUGCAUUCACACUUCAGUUCCCACCAGUUGAACUGUAUGCUUAAGAAGAGAUAAGCCCCAUUUACCCAUAAAUAAUUCAAAUCAGCAUUGCUUUCUUUUUAAAAUUAAUUUUAUUGGAGUAUAAUUCUCAGACUAAAAUGCACCCACUUAAGUGUAAAGUUAAAUAAGUCUUGACAAAUGUGGAUACUAGCGUAUCUACCACAAUCAAGACAUAGAAUAUUUCUAUACAACAAAAAGUUCCCUGUAGCAGCUUUGUAGUCAUUCCCUAACUCAUCACUGGCCUCAGACAACCACUGGUACUAUAGAUCAGUUUUGCUUGUUCCAGUAGUUCAUCUUAAUGGAAUCAUACAAUAUGUAUUGUUUGGCGUCUGGUUUCUUUUGUUCAAUGUGUUUUGAAAUCAACCCAUGUUGUUGCAUGUAGUAGUUUGCUGCAUCAGUAGUUUACUCCUUUUAUUAUGAAGUAAUAUUCCAUUGCAUUAAUGUACUACAUUUUUUGUUCUUUUAAAUGUUGAUAGCUAUUUUUAUUGACUUCCAGUUUGGGACAAUAAUAAAUAAAGCUAUUAAGAGCAUUCAUGUGUAAGUUAUUUUGUGACCAUAUGUUUCCUUUUAUUUGGAAUGUAUAAGGAGAUAGAAGUCCAAAAUUCUGGGUAAUAUAAAAGUAUAUUGACCUUUGUAAAAAACAAAAACUACCAAGAUGGCUGACUGUACCAUGUUACACACUCACCAACAAUAUAUGAGUUCCAGUAGUUCCGCAUCUUCCUCAAAACCUGAGAUUAUCAGUCUUUUUUAGUUUUAGUCAUUCCAGUGGGUAUAGACUGGUAUCUCAUUGUGUUGUUUAUUUGCAUCCUUCUGUUGACUAAUGAUGUUAAGCAUCUUUUAAAGUGCUUAAUGGCUAUUCAUAUCUCCUUUCGUGAGGUGUCUGUUUAAAUCUUUUUCCCAUUAAUAUUGUAUUGCUUGUCUUCUUACUAAGAUAUAAUAGUCAUUUAUAUAUUAUGGAUAAAAGCCCUUUAUCAGAUGUAUGUAUUGCAAAUAUUUUCUCUCUGCCUGUGAACUGCCUUCUAAUUUUCCUUUUGAAGAGCAGAAUUUGUCGUUUUUUAUGUUUAGUGCGAGGCUGUAAAGAUUUUCUCCUGGCCGGGCACGGAGGCUCACUCCUGUAAUCCCAGCACUUUGGGAAGCUGGGACGGGUGGAUCACGACGUCAGGAGACCGAGACCAUCCUGGCUAACACGGUGAAACCCCGUCUCUACUAAAAAAAUACAAAAAAAUUAUCCGGGCAUGGUGGUGGGCUCCUUUAGUCCCAGCUACUCGGGGAGCUGAGGCAGGAGAAUGGCAUGAACCCCGGAGGCAGAGCUUGCAGUGAGCUGAGAUCGCGCCACUGCACUCCAGCCUGGGCGACAGAGUGAGACUCCAUCUCAAAAAAAAAAAAAAAAAUUUAUCCUAUGGAUUAUUUUAGAAAUUUUUAUAAUUUUAGUUGUGUUUAAUUCUACAAUCAAUUUAAAGUAAACAUUGUGUAUGAUGUGAGGUAAUGGUCAGUGUCCAU
This is a long non-coding RNA of Pan troglodytes (chimpanzee), 5461 nucleotides long. RefSeq lists it as uncharacterized. The transcript is spliced from 4 exons. The record is from RefSeq and is a predicted model, not a curated record. Lineage: Eukaryota; Metazoa; Chordata; Mammalia; Primates; Hominidae.